This 220-nucleotide non-coding RNA is filed under the name unclassified sequences. The record is from Rfam.
UCCUUAUAUAACGAUAUUAUACGCAAGACAGUAUAGUCGCUCCCUGUAAGGAAUAAAAUGCGAGAGGUGGUGUUGUAUUAGUGAGAUAACAUCAAGGUUGAAAUACCAAUGCCUCUCAGGAUAACCGUAAGUCCUAGAAAAUUUUAUUCUUUAAAAUUAAUCUUUUAGAAUUAUGAAAGUCAAAUUUGGUACUUUUAUAUAUUUUAAAAGUUACGGUAUC